RNAcentral lists this microRNA (23 nucleotides) under Marek's disease virus serotype 2 MDV2. Its description in RNAcentral is "mdv2-miR-M24-5p". Its record names the gene mdv2-miR-M24-5p. Lineage: Duplodnaviria; Heunggongvirae; Peploviricota; Herviviricetes; Herpesvirales; Orthoherpesviridae. The record is from miRBase by way of RNAcentral.
UUUUUCCCUUACGGUGCCUGACG